Molecule: long non-coding RNA, 281 nt
Organism: Sardina pilchardus (European sardine)
Lineage: Eukaryota; Metazoa; Chordata; Actinopteri; Clupeiformes; Clupeidae
Exons: 3
Source: RefSeq, a predicted model, not a curated record
UGUUGGCACAGUCAGCCAAGGCUAAAGAGCACCUGCUGGAACAGUCUCGUUCAGUGGAUCAAGGUACGUCCUCCCGUAGUCAGAGUCCAUCUGUGGCUCCAGGGAGAGAAGCACGGCAGUUUGUGGAUCCUCUUCUGCAGCGGAAAGAGGAGGCCUCCACUGAGAGCAAGAAUGCAGAGGCUGUCGUUGAUUGGCUGACUGGAUCCCAGCUACAGUUUUACACCACAAACUUCCUCAAUGCAGGAUAUGACCUGCCAACCAUCAGUCACAUGACCCCAGAG